AAGGAUUUAGCUUAAUGAAAGUGUUUGAUUUGCAUUCAAUUGAUGUAAGAUGGAGUCUUGCAAUCCUUA
This 69-nucleotide transfer RNA is filed under the name Crocidura suaveolens mimula. Its description in RNAcentral is "tRNA-Ala". It matches the Rfam family "tRNA". From Rfam's summary of the family: Transfer RNA (tRNA) molecules are approximately 80 nucleotides in length. Their secondary structure includes four short double-helical elements and three loops (D, anti-codon, and T loops). Further hydrogen bonds mediate the characteristic L-shaped molecular structure. tRNAs have two regions of fundamental functional importance: the anti-codon, which is responsible for specific mRNA codon recognition, and the 3' end, to which the tRNAs corresponding amino acid is attached (by aminoacyl-tRNA synthetases). tRNAs cope with the degeneracy of the genetic code in two manners: having more than one tRNA (with a specific anti-codon) for a particular amino acid; and 'wobble' base-pairing, i.e. permitting non-standard base-pairing at the 3rd anti-codon position. The record is from RNAcentral. Lineage: Eukaryota; Metazoa; Chordata; Mammalia; Eulipotyphla; Soricidae.